GUGGCUUAAUUUGACUCAACGCGGGAAAUCUUACCGGGUCCGGACACACUGAGGAUUGACAGGCAAUAUAUGUGACUCUUCGGAGUUUGCAUUGUUAAAUAUGCUAGUCCUUUCAUGAUUAUGUGAUAGGUGGUGCAUGGCCGUUCUUAGUUCGUGGAGUGAUCUGUCUGCUUAAUUGCGUUUCAAAUUACUUAUAAGGUAGCAAUACGCGAUGAAGCUUUCAAUAGUCCUCACGGAUUCACUUGAGUCUCUCGCUUCGCUAUCCUUUCGAAUGCAACGAACGUGACCGCAACCUCUUGUUGCCUUCGUUUAACAUCCUGCAGCUCGCUGUGGGUACUGAGGGCUUCACUCGGUGACUUUGGGCUGAGCAAUCGGUCUUUUGAUCUGAGUAAACUA
This 396-nucleotide ribosomal RNA is filed under the name Globigerinita uvula. RNAcentral describes it as "bacterial SSU rRNA". It matches the Rfam family "Eukaryotic small subunit ribosomal RNA", at positions 1185 to 1399 of the family's 1831-position model. Lineage: Eukaryota; Foraminifera; Rotaliida; Globigerinitidae. The record is from RNAcentral.